UCUGCCCUGCACUCUGGGACAAGCCCUUGGAAACGGGGUCUAAUACCGGAUACAACCACUGACCGCAUGGUCGGGUGGUGGAAAGCUCCGGCGGUGCAGGAUGAGCCCGCGGCCUAUCAGCUUGUUGGUGAGGUAGUGGCUCACCAAGGCGACGACGGGUAGCCGGCCUGAGAGGGCGACCGGCCACACUGGGACUGAGACACGGCCCAGACUCCUACGGGAGGCAGCAGUGGGGAAUAUUGCACAAUGGGCGAAAGCCUGAUGCAGCGACGCCGCGUGAGGGAUGACGGCCUUCGGGUUGUAAACCUCUUUCAGCAGGGAAGAAGCGAAAGUGACGGUACCUGCAGAAGAAGCGCCGGCUAACUACGUGCCAGCAGCCGCGGUAAUACGUAGGGCGCAAGCGUUGUCCGGAAUUAUUGGGCGUAAAGAGCUCGUAGGCGGCUUGUCGCGUCGGUUGUGAAAGCCCGGGGCUUAACCCCGGGUCUGCAGUCGAUACGGGCAGGCUAUGAGUUCGGUAGGGGAGAUCGGAAUUCCUGGUGUAGCGGUGAAAUGCGCAGAUAUCAGGAGGAACCACCCGGUGGCGAAGGCGGAUCUCUGGGCCGAUACUGACGCUGAGGAGCGARAGCGUGGGGAGCGAACAGGAUUAGAUACCCUGGUAGUCCACGCCGUAAACGGUGGGCACUAGGUGUGGGCAACAUUCCACGUUGUCCGUGCCGCAGCUAACGCAUUAAGUGCCCCGCCUGGGGAGUACGGCCGCAAGGCUAAAACUCAAAGGAAUU
Molecule: ribosomal RNA, 779 nt
Filed under: bacterium EAB-2EM66.01
Lineage: Bacteria
Description: bacterial SSU rRNA
Rfam family: Bacterial small subunit ribosomal RNA
Source: RNAcentral